Molecule: transfer RNA, 89 nt
Filed under: Acidobacteriota bacterium
Lineage: Bacteria; Pseudomonadati; Acidobacteriota
Also listed under: 1 other name
Description: Acidobacteria bacterium tRNA-Ser
Rfam family: tRNA
About the family: Transfer RNA (tRNA) molecules are approximately 80 nucleotides in length. Their secondary structure includes four short double-helical elements and three loops (D, anti-codon, and T loops).
Source: RNAcentral
GGAGAGGUGGCCGAGUGGCUUAAGGCACAGGUUUGCUAAACCUGCGUAGGGUCAACCUACCGAGGGUUCGAAUCCCUCCCUCUCCGCCA